Molecule: ribosomal RNA, 378 nt
Filed under: uncultured bacterium
Lineage: Bacteria
Description: partial 16S ribosomal RNA
Rfam family: Bacterial small subunit ribosomal RNA
Source: RNAcentral
CCUACGGGUGGCAGCAGUAGGGAAUAUUGCUCAAUGGGCGAAACCCUGAAGCAGCAACGCCGCGUGGAGGAUGACGGCUUUAGGAUUGUAAACUUCUUUUGAGAGAGAAGAUAAUGACUGUAUCUCACGAAUUAGCACUGGCUAACACCGUGCCAGCACCCGCGGUAAUACGGAGGGUGCAAGCGUUAUGCGGAAUAACUGGGCGUAAAGAGGGCGUAGGCGGGUUGGUAAGUCAGAUGUGAAAUCCUGUAGCUUAACUACAGAAAUGCAUUUGAAACUAUGAGUCUGGAGUAUGGGAGAGGUGGGCGGAAUUCGUGGUGUAGCGGUGAAAUGCGUAGAUAUCAAGAGGAAUACCGAUUGCGAAGGCGGUCUACUGGA